GAAAUAUGCUCAUAGUGAGACUCUGACAUCCAGGAAUCACUUGCUCUUAGAGGAUGUCUUAUCUGCAAAAACUUUUAAAAACCCCCUGAAUACUUGCUCUGAUCAGCUACCAAUACUCUUUUUCUCAUACACAGUGCUUUUUUGCAUCCGUCUGAGUUUUCUUCUGUCUGUCCUGGGAACACUGCUAUAUGCUGGUAUCCAGUUCUAGUCUACAUGGAUGGAAGCAGAAUGAAAGGACUAAAGAUAAACCUGAAGAGAAGGGUGCAAAACCAAAGCAUGUACCUAGCAACAGAGGAGUCCAGGCUGAAAGCAAGGAGUCUUUGGAAGGUAUAGAGCCCAAAGGAGAAGAAAAGUUGGAUGAAAAUAAUGGAGCAUGUGAAAAAGUAAAUUCUUUCAAUGCUGUAGUCUCCAAAGUUGACUCCAGUCCACAAAUUAAAGAAAGGAUAACACAGCUGCAAACAAUAGCAGAUUCUGGCAAAACAAAUAGCUCUAAGAAUUGUCAACCACAAAAGGACACUAUAAUUACAGCUUUGAUUCCAAACCAUGAUCUUUCCUUCAUAAAUCAUGGCCCCGUGGGGAACAAGAAUGUUAUUGCUGAAGGAAUUGAUAAGGACAGAGCACCAGGACUGGAAGAACACCACAGAAAGCCUAUUAAUCAGAAAUCAAAAGAAAGUGAAAACAAAGCCUCUACACUCAGUACUAUGACCAUGGAAACGGUGCCAUCCACAUCAAAGUCUGUAUCCAGAGCAGGGUGUGAAGUGAUACGUACAAG
This 772-nucleotide long non-coding RNA is filed under the name Gopherus evgoodei (Goodes thornscrub tortoise). RNAcentral describes it as "lncRNA (ENSGEVG00005016000.1)". The record is from RNAcentral. Lineage: Eukaryota; Metazoa; Chordata; Testudines; Testudinidae.